GCACGCCGUAUGAGGCGAAAGUCUCACGUACGGUGUAGAGCAGGGGAAAAGGUGGAGAUAAUAUCAAAUCCUUACCUAUUGCUAU
This is a non-coding RNA of Eubacterium ventriosum ATCC 27560, 85 nucleotides long. NCBI's taxonomy places the organism in Bacteria, Bacillati, Bacillota, Clostridia, Eubacteriales, Eubacteriaceae. The record is from Rfam.